UACGUAGGAGGCAAGCGUUGUCCGGAAUUAUUGGGCGUAAAGAGCUCGUAGGUGGUUCGGUAAGUCGGAUGUGAAAUCUCCAGGCUCAACCUGGAGGGGUCAUUCGAUACUGCCGUGACUAGAGGUCGGUAGGGGAGUGUGGAAUUCCUGGUGGAGCGGUGAAAUGCGCAGAUAUCAGGAGGAACACCCGUAGCGAAGGCGGCACUCUGGGCCGAUACUGACACUGAGGAGCGAAAGCGUGGGGAGCGAACAGG
This 254-nucleotide ribosomal RNA is filed under the name uncultured bacterium. RNAcentral's name for it is "partial 16S ribosomal RNA". It matches the Rfam family "Bacterial small subunit ribosomal RNA", at positions 524 to 776 of the family's 1533-position model. The record is from RNAcentral.